UGUUAUUACUUUCCAUUGCAUCUGAUCGUUGAUCAGUUACAGGUGUGAUCGUAUCAGAACCAUUCGUGCACAUUUUAAAACAAGAUAAGAAGAAAAGUGCUGGCUGAUCUAGUUUGGUUGGUAAAAUUGGUUCAUGGGGUAGCCUAGAAGACCUUUUCUCAAACUCCCCUUCUGUCACUGAAUCAUGUGGUAAAAUAGAUCUAUCUUGCCCCAUUUUUUCACCAAGAAAUAUCAGAACAUUAUGUGAGACUUUAAAGAGCUCUUCAUCUAUCAUUCUGGUCAGGAAAGAAGGGUAAGAAGUUAAGGCCAUUUCCAUUCCUUUCAUUGAAACUUCCAUGUUUUGCAAACCAUGUCCUGGAUCUGUGUAGGGAAUCAAGAAUCUCAGCCAAGGUUUCUCCCAUUGCAAACCUUCCUGCUCAAAUUAGGAGGGUAUUUUAGAUUAUGAACAAGAAUGGGUUAAUUUCACAUAUGGUCAGUGU
Molecule: long non-coding RNA, 479 nt
Filed under: Nicotiana benthamiana
Lineage: Eukaryota; Viridiplantae; Streptophyta; Magnoliopsida; Solanales; Solanaceae
Description: long non-coding RNA (NBEN_LNC040972)
Source: RNAcentral